GGAGUGGGCCGGAUGGUCGCGGAUUCUGAGGAACGGAAUCCGAGGAAAGUCCGAGCUCCACCGGGCGGGAUGCUCGCUAACGGCGAGUGGGGGCGACCCCAAGGAAAGUGCAACAGAAAAGAUACCGCCACGCCUUGGCGUGGUAAGGGUGAAAAGGUGCGGUAAGAGCGCACCGGCGGCGGGGCGACUCGCCGGCCUGGCAAACCCCAUCCGGAGCAAGACCAAAUAGGGGGGCGAUGGAGCGGCCCGUUCCGUGUGCCUCCGGGUUAGGUCGCUUGAGGCGCCUGGUAACAGGCGUCCCAGAUGAAUGACCAUCACGGCCAAUCGGCCGGACAGAACUCGGCUUACGCGCCCGCUCCAAAA
RNAcentral lists this RNase P RNA (363 nucleotides) under Candidatus Abyssobacteria bacterium SURF_5. RNAcentral describes it as "Candidatus Abyssubacteria bacterium SURF_5 RNase P RNA component class A". It matches the Rfam family "Bacterial RNase P class A". From Rfam's summary of the family: Ribonuclease P (RNase P) is a ubiquitous endoribonuclease, found in archaea, bacteria and eukarya as well as chloroplasts and mitochondria. Its best characterised activity is the generation of mature 5'-ends of tRNAs by cleaving the 5'-leader elements of precursor-tRNAs. Lineage: Bacteria; Pseudomonadati; Candidatus Hydrogenedentota; Candidatus Abyssobacteria. The record is from RNAcentral.